UGGGGAAUUUUGGACAAUGGGGGAAACCCUGAUCCAGCCAUCCCGCGUGUGCGAUGAAGGCCUUCGGGGUGUAAAGCACUUUUGGCAGGAAAGAAACGUCAUGGGUUAAUACCCCGUGAAACUGACGGUACCUGCAGAAUAAGCACCGGCUAACUACGUGCCAGCAGCCGCGGUAAUACGUAGGGUGCAAGCGUUAAUCGGAAAUACUGGGCGUAAAGCGUGCGCAGGCGGAUCGGAAAGAAAGAUGUGAAAUCCCAGAGCUCAACUUUGGAACUGCUUUUUAAUCUACCGGGCUAGAGUGUGUCAGAGGGGGGUAGACUUCCGCGUUUAGCAGUGAAAUGCGUAGAUAUGCAGAGGAACACCGAUGGCGAAGGCAUCCUCCUGGGAUAACACUGACGCUCAUGCACGAAAGCGUGGGGAGCAAACAGG
This 429-nucleotide ribosomal RNA is filed under the name Acidobacteriota bacterium. Its description in RNAcentral is "Acidobacteria bacterium partial 16S ribosomal RNA". It matches the Rfam family "Bacterial small subunit ribosomal RNA", at positions 355 to 776 of the family's 1533-position model. The record is from RNAcentral. Lineage: Bacteria; Pseudomonadati; Acidobacteriota.